GAAAUGCGAUAAGUAAUGUGAAUUGCAGAAUUCAGUGAAUCAUCGAAUCUUUGAACGCACAUUGCGCCCGCCAGUAUUCUGGCGGGCAUGCCUGUUCGAGCGUCAUUUCAACCAUCAAGCCCCCGGCUUGUGUUGGGGACCUGCGGCUGCCCGCAGGCCCUGAAAAACAGUGGCGGGCUCGCUGUCACACCGAGCGUAGUAGCAUACAUUCUCGCUCAGGGCGUGCUGCGGGUUCCGGCUGUUAAACGACCUUCAUAACCCAAGGUUGACCUCGGAUCAGGUAGGAAGACCCGCUGAACUUAAGC
This 305-nucleotide unclassified non-coding RNA is filed under the name plant metagenome. RNAcentral describes it as "partial contains 5.8S ribosomal RNA, internal transcribed spacer 2, and large subunit ribosomal RNA". The stretch from base 1 to 105 matches the Rfam family "5.8S ribosomal RNA", at positions 50 to 154 of the family's 154-position model. The record is from RNAcentral.